Molecule: ribosomal RNA, 341 nt
Filed under: uncultured Thermus sp.
Lineage: Bacteria; Thermotogati; Deinococcota; Deinococci; Thermales; Thermaceae
Description: bacterial SSU rRNA
Rfam family: Bacterial small subunit ribosomal RNA
Source: RNAcentral
GUGCAUGGUCGUCGUCAGCUCGUGCCGUGAGGUGUUGGGUUAAGUCCCGCAACGAGCGCAACCCCCGCCGUUAGUUGCCAGCGGUUCGGCCGGGCACUCUAACGGGACUGCCCGCGAAAGCGGGAGGAAGGAGGGGACGACGUCUGGUCAGCAUGGCCCUUACGGCCUGGGCGACACACGUGCUACAAUGCCCACUACAAAGCGAGGCCACCCGGCAACGGGGAGCUAAUCGCAAAAAGGUGGGCCCAGUUCGGAUUGGGGUCUGCAACCCGACCCCAUGAAGCCGGAAUCGCUAGUAAUCGCGGAUCAGCCAUGCCGCGGUGAAUACGUUCCCGGGCCUU